This 440-nucleotide ribosomal RNA is filed under the name uncultured bacterium. Its description in RNAcentral is "partial 16S ribosomal RNA". It matches the Rfam family "Bacterial small subunit ribosomal RNA", at positions 338 to 795 of the family's 1533-position model. The record is from RNAcentral.
CCUACGGGAGGCAGCAGUGGGGAAUAUUGCACAAUGGGGGGAACCCUGAUGCAGCAACGCCGCGUGGGUGAUGAAGUAUUUCGGUAUGUAAAGCCCUGUCAGCAGGGAAGAAAAUGACGGUACCUGACCAAGAAGCCCCGGCUAACUACGUGCCAGCAGCCGCGGUAAUACGGAGGGGGCAAGCGUUAUCCGGAUUUACUGGGGGUAAAGGGCGCGUAGACGGGAAGGCAAGUCUGGAGUGAAAGCCCGUGGCUCAACCACGGGACUGCUUUGGAAACUGUGUUGCUGGAGUGCGGGAGGGGUAAGCGGAAUUCCUAGUGUAGCGGUGAAAUGCGUAGAGAUUAGGAGGAACACCGGUGGCGAAGGCGGCUUACUGGACUGUAACUGACGUUGAGGCUCGAAGGCGUGGGGAGCAAACAGGAUUAGAUACCCUUGUAGUC